AAAACUAAAUCCUGGAGAUAUGGUAUAAAUUGAUGAAGGUAUAACGAUGAGAUAAUAGCAACACUUGAACCCAAGAUUCCUGACUCGCAGUCCCUGCUGCUUUAGACUGGAGACUUCUAAGAUGACCCUAGAGAUACUGAAAGAGGAAUGCUAUAGUCAUUUGAAUUUAUGGAAUAAAUUCAGGCAGGAGUAUAGCAUGGUGUAUAAUGGAAAAUGAACUUGAUUUCAAAGGUAAGUCAAAUCAGAAGCUACUUCUUGUUCAGUAACUCCAGACCUUAGGGAAUCUGCUAGUCAUUGUCACAUUCAUGAAAAUAAAAUCGGAGAUUUAGAAAUCGAAGGACCCCAGAAAUUAUCUAAUCCAAUGCUCUCAUUUUAUAGGCAAGAAAAUGUAGACUCACAAGGUAAAGGAACAAUAAAUAAGCAGGCAUAUGGAUUUGUUCAGAAUUACCCCUAUAUGUAUUCAGCAUUCUUGCUAUGAUGGGAAUGAUUAGAAUCCAGAGCCUGUCUGGGAUGAGGGCAGCUUUCUCACCUUAAAGGACCCUCUGCUUGCUAUAAACAUUGUUGCUGUUGUGCUGAUUUCUUUCUUUCAAUUUUAUCUCAUUUUCUGCCACUUCAAUAGGGCUGUGGCAUAGAAAGAAAUUGGUACGACUAGCCAAACUAGAGUCUGAGGCCAUUCCUGGUUUUAUUUUGGACAAUCUCACAAGUUUGUUCCAUGGUCACUUUGCAGAGAACUUAGUUCCUCUUGAGAUCAGGUGGGUUUUCUUGUCCCCUUUUUCUUGUUCCAUGGAGGUUCCUCAUCCUCCUUACAAACUAGAAUCACUUGAUGCAGACAUGGGGAUGGGGAUGGGGGAGGAGUCUUUUGGACACUUUGGUUUUUAAUCUGUUUAGUCACAGGUUGGUAAGAGUAGUGAAACACAAAAGUUAUAUUUUAAACCCUCAGAUAAUCGAUUCUUAAACUCCACCACUGACCAUCAUCAUGUCAAUGGGGCCAAAGAAGGAAGAUUCAUUUGGAAAGACAUUUUCAUUUUUUAAUUUAUGUAGUCAGUAUUUAUUUUUCAUUUUGCUUGACUAUAUUUAAUUGUUUAUUUUUUAUUAGUUUGUUGCUUACAUUGAAAUUUCCAAGUAUCUCACUCAGAUGCUUUUAUUUUAGCCAUAGACCACAAGAAAAAAGAAUAUUCUCUAUUUUUAGGAAAUCACCUGAGUUGAUGGUAUCCAUUUGGGUAGAAAUUGCUAUGGAAGAAGCACAAGGUCAAAAAGAGGUAAAAUGGACUGCCUUGAGAAACUGUGGAUUUCCCUUCCUUCAAGACAAGUGA
RNAcentral lists this long non-coding RNA (1313 nucleotides) under Monodelphis domestica (gray short-tailed opossum). Its description in RNAcentral is "lncRNA (ENSMODG00000045186.1)". The record is from RNAcentral. Lineage: Eukaryota; Metazoa; Chordata; Mammalia; Didelphimorphia; Didelphidae.